GUGCUAAUCUGCGAUAAGCGCCGGUAAGGUGAUAUGAACCGUUAUAACCGGCGAUACCCGAAUGGGGAAACCCAGUGUGACUCGUCACACUAUCAUUAACUGAAUCCAUAGGUUAAUGAGGCGAACCGGGGGAACUGAAACAUCUAAGUACCCCGAGGAAAAGAAAUCAACCGAGAUUCCCCCAGUAGCGGCGAGCGAACGGGGAGGAGCCCAGAGCCUGAAUCAGCAUGUGUGUUAGUGGAAGCGUCUGGAAAGGCGCGCGAUACAGGGUGACAGCCCCGUACACAAAAGCGCAUGUGCUGUGAGCUCGAUGAGUAGGGCGGGACACGUGGUAUCCUGUCUGAAUAUGGGGGGACCAUCCUCCAAGGCUAAAUACUCCUGACUGACCGAUAGUGAACCAGUACCGUGAGGGAAAGGCGAAAAGAACCCCGGCGAGGGGAGUGAAAAAGAACCUGAAACCGUGUACGUACAAGCAGUGGGAGCCCCACCACCAAAGCAUUUGCUGUACCGCGUUGACGGAGCGAAGCGACGUCAAACCGAUAAAACAGCAGUGUAAAGUGAGCCGCAGGGCGCUUUGCGCGACAGCGCAAAGGCAGGCGGUUUCGCGUAGCGAAAGCGAAUGCUUUGGGGUGGGGUGACUGCGUACCUUUUGUAUAAUGGGUCAGCGACUUAUAUUCUGUAGCAAGGUUAACCGAAUAGGGGAGCCGGAGGGAAACCGAGUCUUAAUUGGGCGUUAAGUUGCAGGGUAUAGACCCGAAACCCGGUGAUCUAGCCAUGGGCAGGUUGAAGGUUGGGUAACACUAACUGGAGGACCGAACCGACUAAUGUUGAAAAAUUAGCGGAUGACCUGUGGCUGGGGGUGAAAGGCCAAUCAAACCGGGAGAUAGCUGGUUCUCCCCGAAAGCUAUUUAGGUAGCGCCUCGUGAAUUCAUCUCCGGGGGUAGAGCACUGUUUCGGCUAGGGGGCCAUCCCGGCUUACCAACCCGAUGCAAACUGCGAAUACCGGAGAAUGUUAUCACGGGAGACACACGGCGGGUGCUAACGUCCGUCGUGAAGAGGGAAACAACCCAGACCGCCAGCUAAGGUCCCAAAGUCAUGGUUAAGUGGGAAACGAUGUGGGAAGGCCCAGACAGCCAGGAUGUUGGCUUAGAAGCAGCCAUCAUUUAAAGAAAGCGUAAUAGCUCACUGGUCGAGUCGGCCUGCGCGGAAGAUGUAACGGGGCUAAACCAUGCACCGAAGCUGCGGCAGCGACACUGUGUGUUGUUGGGUAGGGGAGCGUUCUGUAAGCCUGUGAAGGUGUGUCGUGAGGCAUGCUGGAGGUAUCAGAAGUGCGAAUGCUGACAUAAGUAACGAUAAAGCGGGUGAAAAGCCCGCUCGCCGGAAGACCAAGGGUUCCUGUCCAACGUUAAUCGGGGCAGGGUGAGUCGACCCCUAAGGCGAGGCCGAAAGGCGUAGUCGAUGGGAAACGGGUUAAUAUUCCCGUACUUGGUGUUACUGCGAAGGGGGGACGGAGAAGGCUAUGUUGGCCGGG
This 1531-nucleotide ribosomal RNA is filed under the name Salmonella enterica. Its description in RNAcentral is "partial 23S ribosomal RNA". It matches the Rfam family "Bacterial large subunit ribosomal RNA", at positions 58 to 1495 of the family's 2925-position model. The record is from RNAcentral. RNAcentral also lists the same sequence under 1 other name. Lineage: Bacteria; Pseudomonadati; Pseudomonadota; Gammaproteobacteria; Enterobacterales; Enterobacteriaceae.